This 253-nucleotide ribosomal RNA is filed under the name uncultured bacterium. RNAcentral's name for it is "partial 16S ribosomal RNA". It matches the Rfam family "Bacterial small subunit ribosomal RNA", at positions 524 to 776 of the family's 1533-position model. The record is from RNAcentral.
UACAGAGGGGGCAAGCGUUGUUCGGAAUUACUGGGCGUAAAGGGCGCGUAGGCGGCCUGUGAAGUCGAACGUGAAAUCCCCGGGCUCAACCCGGGAACUGCGUCCGAUACUGGCAGGCUUGAAUCCGGGAGAGGGAUGCGGAAUUCCAGGUGUAGCGGUGAAAUGCGUAGAUAUCUGGAGGAACACCGGUGGCGAAGGCGGCAUCCUGGACCGGCAUUGACGCUGAGGCGCGAAAGCCAGGGGAGCAAACGGG